AUGGCGAGCGGGACACCGCCGCUCCGCUGCCGGGCUUGGCGGCGUGCAGCGAGGCCGCCAGCGCCGGGCCCAGCGGGUGCGCGUAGCCGAAGGGCGUCCGUGCCAGCUCCGCCGCCGGCAGCAAGGGGCCCGGCGGCGCGGAGGCGGCGGCGGCGGCGGCGGGGGGCAGCGCCGCGGCGGGGGCGGCGGAGGGGGCGGCGGGGGGCUGCCGGGGCGGCGGGGAGGGGUGGUGGAAGGCGAAGAGGGCGGAGUGGGGGUGGUAGGGCUGCAGCUGGAGGCCGUAGCCGCAGCCGUAGGGUCCGUAGGCGCAGGGUGGCUGCUGCGGUCUCUUCAGCCAACGCCGACGCCUCGGACAUCUCCGAGCUCAGGGUCAUGGCGAUGCGGCGGGACAGCGCAUCGGCGGCUGGCGGUGCGGCGCGGCGGGCGGGCGGCCACUCUCCCCGCCGGGCCCCCGCGGCGCUCCGCCGAGAGCCGCCCCGCCGCCGCCGCGGGCAGGAGGGCCGGGCCCCAGCGCCGCCGCCGCCGCGCGGAGAGAGCGCUGCUGCCGCCCGCUCGGAGGCGGCGGUGCCUUAUGGCUUGGCGUAUUUUUUGCUGCUUUUUCAAGAUUCUUUCCCUCGCGCUUUUUUUUUUUUCCUUUUUUUUUUUUUUUUCCUCCUCUCCCCUCCCCCUUCUUUUCUUUCUUUUUUUUUUUUUUUUCUUUUUUUUUUUUUUUUUUCUAAUUUUUUUUUUUUUUUUGUCUUUAUCUUUGUUGUGCCUCGGGUUCUUGGGGUUCAGGGGGCCGUGCCGCCGCGCCUGGGAGCCCGCUCCCUCUUCUUUCUCCUCACCUCAGUCCCCAGACAUUAAUGGAUGCGGGGCAGAGGGAGCGCGCCUAGUCCUGGGAGGAGGAGAGGGAGGGGAAGGAGGGAGGGAGGAAGAGAGAGGAGGGCGGGCGGAGGGGGCGGCUCGCCGACCCAUUAGGACGGUGCGGAGGCCGGGGCCGAGUCCCAAAGAGGGCGGCCUUCCUCCCCGCCUUAUAGCGAGGGGGCCAUCACAUGGCUCUCGGCGUCAGUGCGCGGCUGGGCGAGCUGCGGUGCCGUGCCCUCCUCGGUGGGGUGGGGGGGGGGAGGGGUCUGCCCUCAGUGUGGGAGGGGGGAUACAGAGGACGCACUCCGAGAAAGAAAGGGAAAAAAAAGUGAGUCUGUCCCAGAGCGCUGAAGCAUCUUUGAGAGAACAGUGCCUGGAUUUCUGAAUCCCACUGUGCCGCCCUCGGGACCGCGUCCUGCUGCCUGCGGGAAGGGGGAAAAGCGUCUUCUCUACGGGAUUCUCUUUCCCGAAGAUCCGCGUGGGCGGGAGACCCCGAGUGGGGGCUGCGGGAGAUCCCCGCUGGCGGGGGACGGUGUCUGGGAGAGCCCUGCGCCGCAGCUCGGGGAGGAGAACGACCAAGAGGAGCUGCCUGGAGAGAUGGGGGGGGGGGGUCUCCUCUACGGAGAAACCCGCCUGGGUGCGACCCUGGGAAGUGUGGUGCAGGUGACCCUGGUUGAGGCAGAGGGCUGGACUAAAUGAUCCCAAGUCCCUUCAGACCUCAACCAUCCAGUGGUUCUGUGUGACAUAUCUCAAAGCCCUCUAAAAUAAAGUUUUCCACCCCAACCCCCCUCCCCA
Molecule: long non-coding RNA, 1638 nt
Filed under: Coturnix japonica (Japanese quail)
Lineage: Eukaryota; Metazoa; Chordata; Aves; Galliformes; Phasianidae
Description: lncRNA (ENSCJPG00005002031.1)
Source: RNAcentral